UCUGGGCUUUGUAAACGCUGGGCCUCUGGGCCCUGCCCCAGAAGCCCCCAGCUUCCCAGAACCGGCUCCCCAGUUCCUGUUCAGCUGCUGCUCUUUCUGUAAGGCCUUCGCAAGCCUCACUGCCCCUUCUGGAUGUACUUAAUUUUCCGCUGAGGCUCGGGUCUCCCCACAGUAUAAACUUGACUCUACUCCAGAAAUAAGGGAGAACCAUUACACUGCCGAGCCCUUACUGCAGGCCUGGCCUGCCCUGUGCUCAGCCAAGACCUUACCAUCGACCACCUGUGAAGCCUGGAGCCAGCCGUUUGUCCCCUCUGCCUUGAGUUUUCUCCUCACCUGUAAAACAAGAUGAUGGCACUAAAUGUCCGCAAAGCCUUUGUCUUCUCUGAACUACAGUGGUUCUACAAAGGCUUCUGUGAUCCAAAAUUCUGCCCCAGCUUUGAUGUGACAACAGGACGUUCACCAGCCCAACUCCUUUUAUAUACGGUUACCGAGGAAUAAUAAGAAGAAGAAUGAUAAUGAUUAACAUUUAUUUCCUCCCAUGGGCCAAGAACUGAUCUAAGUACUUUUAAGCUUCAAAACAACUUUUUUUUUUUUUUGCGGUAUGCAGGCCUCUCACUGCCGUGACCUCUCCCGUUGCGGAGCACAGGCUCCGGAUGCGCAGGCUCAGCAGCCAUGGCUCACGGGCCCAGCCGCUCUGCGGCAUGUGAGAUCUUCCCGGACCGGGGCACGAACCCGUGUCCCCUGCAUCGGCAGGCAGACUCUCAACCACUGUGCCACCAGGGAAGCCCCCAAAACAACGUUUUAAGGGAACUGCUAUUAUUGUUUCCAUUUCAUAAAUAAGAAACCUAGAAACACACAGAGAGGUUACAUUACUUAAUAUAAGGUCAUACAGUUAACAAUUUGUGGAACCAGGGUUCAAACCCAAGCAGUUGGCUCAGGGUCCAUGCUCUUUUUCCCAGGAGCUGAAGAGUGAGGGGUUAAGGGUACAGGGAAGGUAUGGGAACUACCAAGUGAAGCCUCAGUGACAGGAGGCUCACUACCCCUCAGUGGCAUAUUUUAUCAUCAUCCCCAUCUCCAUAGCAAGUUGUGCUAUGUCCUGCUACCUCCCACCCCCUGCAAGGGGACACUUGUAAGAAGUUAUCUAGUGACUUGUGGAAAGAGUUGCCAGAUGAAGCAAAUAAAAAUACAGGAUACCUGGUUAAAUUCGAAUUUCUAAUAAAAAGUAAAUAAUUUUUUUAAGUAUAAGUCUAUCCCAUGCAACUUUUGGGACAUACUUAUACCAAAAACUUUUUCAUUAUUUAUCUGAAAUUCAAAUUUAACUGGGCAUCCUAUAUUUUAUCUGGCAAACCUACUUCCAGUACAAUAAA
Lagenorhynchus albirostris (white-beaked dolphin) is the source of this 1367-nucleotide long non-coding RNA. RefSeq lists it as uncharacterized. Lineage: Eukaryota; Metazoa; Chordata; Mammalia; Artiodactyla; Delphinidae. The record is from RefSeq and is a predicted model, not a curated record. The transcript is spliced from 3 exons.